CCUACGGGAGACAGCAGUGAGGAAUAUUGGUCAAUGGCCGUAAGGCUGAACCAGCCAAGUAGCGUGAAGGAAGAAGGAUCUAUGGUUUGUAAACUUCUUUUAUAGGGGAAUAAAGGUAUCCACGUGUGGAUAUUUGCAUGUACCCUAUGAAUAAGCAUCGGCUAACUCCGUGCCAGCAGCCGCGGUAAUACGGAGGAUGCGAGCGUUAUCCGGAUUUAUUGGGUUUAAAGGGUGCGUAGGUUGUUUUUUAAGUCAGCGGUGAAAGUUUGUGGCUCAACCAUAAAAUUGCAGUUGAAACUGGCAGACUUGAGUGUGUUUGAGGUAGGCGGAAUGCGUGGUGUAGCGGUGAAAUGCAUAGAUAUCACGCAGAACUCCGAUUGCGAAGGCAGCUUACUAGGCCAUAACUGACACUGAAGCACGAAAGCGUGGGGAUCAAACAGGAUUAGAUACCCCAGUAGUC
RNAcentral lists this ribosomal RNA (460 nucleotides) under uncultured bacterium. RNAcentral's name for it is "partial 16S ribosomal RNA". It matches the Rfam family "Bacterial small subunit ribosomal RNA", at positions 338 to 795 of the family's 1533-position model. The record is from RNAcentral.